RNAcentral lists this long non-coding RNA (1937 nucleotides) under Marmota monax (woodchuck). Lineage: Eukaryota; Metazoa; Chordata; Mammalia; Rodentia; Sciuridae. The record is from RNAcentral.
AUAUAUAUAUAUAUAUAUAUAUAUAUAUUAUAUAUUCCAUAAUUUGAUCAUCAAAACUUAUACUGUGUGCAAUUUGUCAUACUCCAGCAUCCCAAUACUAGAACUGAACUACUCAGAAAAGCAACAGCAGAGGACACCAUUCUCAUUGGUAAGUACAGGAGUAAGAUGUACUCCUUGGUCAUCCCUAACUUCUUUGUAUAUGUUCUAACAAAGCUGUACUACUUCCUGUGAAGAAGAGAGAUAAUAUUAGCCUUCCUCAUAAUACCUAUACUUAGAAAGGCCUAUUGAAAAAUUUGUCCCUUUGCUCAGAAUUUUAGAACAGUCUCAACAACCAAAGGAAUAAGAGGCUCAUGGUGCCAAAGUAGUUUUAUGUAAACAAUGCUGUGUUUUCUGAACUGCUUUUCUUAUGAACAUCUAUAUUUUGUUCAACUCUUAUGGCAGAACAUAGAGGAUUAGCUGUCAUCCUUCCUCAGAAUGAAACCUUUGCACAUGUAUUUAAUAAACUCCCCUCACACAAAAUAUUUCACUUGGAUUGUCACAAUGUGGUAGUUGGAGAUUGGGCUCAUCUUGCAUGAGUAAAUCAAAAGAACAAUUUGAAUUUGCAAGUGGUUUACUCCAGACCAGAUUAAACCAACUGAUAAGAAAAAAUAAUAAUUAAUAAACAUAUGAUUUUAUAAUGCAUGUUGUUUAAUAUCAAACCAGAAGUUUGAAUGGUAUUCUUAUCAAAUUUCAAAAAUCUGAACAUGGCGUCAGAUGCGGAGAGAUCAAUUCUCUGACCUCUUCAGCUGCGCAGACAAAGGGAGUCUUAAACCAUCUGAAUGCUGUUUGCUCAGGAUCACUAGGCAAUGCUGUGCUUACGUGGACCUGGGGCGAACAGUCUGCACCCCUCAGAACACACACCCAGCCCAGAGCGGGAGAAUUCAGGCUCCUGUAAGCCUGCGUCUCACAGCCAAACCGCUGCAACUCAGUGCUACAAACGCUCCCACUGAAUAGAGAAACAACUCAUCAGCUCCUCCAUGAACCUUUUGAGAUUAAUACCAACCGAGCCUUCAUAGGCAGCAGUCACACGAUUGAGACGAGGCUUGGGAGAGCCGGUCGGAACACACCCGUUGCAUCGGACACCCGGCAAAGGGAAGGAACGGCCACCAUUCGCAUGGGUCAUCACCAUGGCAGAGAACUGACAUCACCAGAAUGUGGCGGAGAUAACUUCAUUGAAACAGGCAGCUGCAGGUGAGUAACCCCCUAGCCCUUCCUAAACACACAGCAGGGAAACCUCAAGGGCCCCUCCCAGCUCUCCCGUGAGCUCGAUAGUCAGACCAAGGGAAUCAGGAGCGGCAUGGGACCCCAGGCUACCGCUCCCACCAGCACUGACAACUGAGGUCUCUUGCACCAGCUCCCGGGGGCGUGGCUACUGGAGGGCAGGCAAAAUACGCAGACAGUUCUCAGCCCCAUGCUCCACAACCUUAGGGUCUGGGGGAAUGGCAAGCAGGGAGAGAGUGCCCAGUGGUUCAAGAAAAUAGGGCUCUCUGGAGCAGCAGACCUGGUGUGUAGCCAGUAUUGUGGUGAGCAUCACUGGUGAACGGGGUCUGGCUGGAGGAAAAGUGGGGAAGUGACUAGACACAAGAAAAGGCCCUAGACAUGCAGGAUUGGAGAGCCGCCCAGUGGGGGAGGAGGAGCCGCUUCACAAUAAUUGGUUCCUGCAUAUUGAGAGGAGAAGCUUGGCCCGGUGGGCACAGCUCCACCUACUGGAAGAGAAGUUAAUCCAACUCUAAGACUGCAUUUUUUUUUUAAACAGAGCGUGUGUGUGAGAGAGAGAGAGACAGAGACAUAGAGAAUUUUUUAAUAUUUAUUUUUUGUUUUCGGCGGACACAGUAUCUUUGUUUGUAUGUGGUGCUGAGGAUUGAACCCAGGCCACACGCAUGCCAGGCAAGCAUGCU